CCCUUAGAUGUUCUGGGCCGCACGCGCGCUACACUGACGAUGGCAACGAGUUUUUCCUUCGCCGAAAGGUGUGGGUAAUCUUUUGAAACAUCGUCGUGCUGGGGAUAGAUCAUUGCAAUUUUUGAUCUUUAACGAGGAAUUCCUAGUAAGCGCGAGUCAUCAGCUCGCGUUGAUUACGUCCCUGCCCUUUGUACACACCGCCCGUCGCUACUACCGAUUGAAUGGUUUAGUGAGGACUCCUGAUUGGCGCCGCCGCCCCGGCAACGGAGCAGCGGACUGCCGAAAAGUUGUUCAAACUUGAUCAUUUAGAGGAAGUAAAAGUCGUAACA
This 329-nucleotide ribosomal RNA is filed under the name uncultured eukaryote. RNAcentral describes it as "partial 18S ribosomal RNA". It matches the Rfam family "Eukaryotic small subunit ribosomal RNA", at positions 1470 to 1796 of the family's 1831-position model. The record is from RNAcentral.